Molecule: unclassified non-coding RNA, 213 nt
Filed under: Hevea brasiliensis (rubber tree)
Lineage: Eukaryota; Viridiplantae; Streptophyta; Magnoliopsida; Malpighiales; Euphorbiaceae
Source: RNAcentral
CUUUCCAUUUGCCAUGGAUUUGAUUGCACCAACUAGUGUAAUCUUCAUUCUUCAGCAUAUAUGGAACUCAAGUGCACUCGAAUACAAGAAGACUUUACGAGAAUGUGUUAAGCAGAGGGAGUUUUGGUUUCGUCAAAAUUAUUUCUUACCUUCUUUUACAAGUCAGCAUUGAGGAAUUUGAGAACUGUCCUUAGAAGGUGAGAGAGAGCCGCC